RNAcentral lists this ribosomal RNA (350 nucleotides) under uncultured Caryophanaceae bacterium. RNAcentral describes it as "bacterial SSU rRNA". It matches the Rfam family "Bacterial small subunit ribosomal RNA", at positions 1031 to 1382 of the family's 1533-position model. The record is from RNAcentral. Lineage: Bacteria; Bacillati; Bacillota; Bacilli; Caryophanales; Caryophanaceae.
GAGACAGGUGGUGCAUGGUUGUCGUCAGCUCGUGUCGUGAGAUGUUGGGUUAAGUCCCGCAACGAGCGCAACCCUUAUCAUUAGUUGCUAACAUUCAGUUGAGAACUCUAAUGAGACUGCCAGUGAUAAACUGGAGGAAGGUGGGGAUGACGUCAAAUCAUCAUGCCCCUUAUGACCUGGGCUACACACGUGCUACAAUGGGCGGUACAAAGGGUCGCGAACCCGCGAGGGGGAGCCAAUCCCAAAAAGCCGCUCUCAGUUCGGAUUGCAGGCUGCAACUCGCCUGCAUGAAGCCGGAAUCGCUAGUAAUCGCGGAUCAGCAUGCCGCGGUGAAUACGUUCCCGGGCCUU